CGGGGUGUAGCUCAGCUUGGUAGAGCACUGCUUUCGGGAAGCAGGGGCCGGAGGUUCAAAUCCUCUCUCCCCGA
This 74-nucleotide transfer RNA is filed under the name Gammaproteobacteria bacterium. RNAcentral describes it as "tRNA-Pro". It matches the Rfam family "tRNA". Rfam says of the family: Transfer RNA (tRNA) molecules are approximately 80 nucleotides in length. Their secondary structure includes four short double-helical elements and three loops (D, anti-codon, and T loops). The record is from RNAcentral. Lineage: Bacteria; Pseudomonadati; Pseudomonadota; Gammaproteobacteria.